Molecule: ribosomal RNA, 723 nt
Filed under: Triticum aestivum (bread wheat)
Lineage: Eukaryota; Viridiplantae; Streptophyta; Magnoliopsida; Poales; Poaceae
Description: partial small subunit ribosomal RNA
Source: RNAcentral
AUGCGUGUUGGGAGCUUUCUGGAGCGGGCGGAGGCGGCCCUGGACAAGCUCUCUCUUGUGUCGGUUGUGUUGCAGUCCACUCAUACAUCACGUCCUUCUAGUCAGGUUGAUGUCGUUAGUCAGGUUGAUGUUGUUGGUGGCUCAACGGAGAACAGGGAUGAAGAGCUCUAUGGUUGUUUCUCCCCUCGAGUUGGGGACAACUUGUCGUCGAUGUCUGCUGGUGUAAGCGAGGCCGUCGCCGCGGUCGUCGCCCCUGUGUUGCAGAUUAUGUCCGAGCUUCAACAACUAUGUGUGAGACCUGCUUCACCUCAGCCUAUGGAGCAUGUGGAGGUCGUCUCGCUGGUGACCCCUGUUGAGGGGCAUGAUUCACCUAGGUCAUGUGAGCAACUAGAGGCGUCCGACUCCAUCGUGUCGGUGGUAUCUGUGACUGAUAAUGUUGAGGCAGUCAAGAUGUUGGCGUCUGAUCCUUUGGAGCCUAGCCAGAUGGUCGCCAUUGUGGAGCGUGAAGGUUUCGAUGUUACAGUUACUCACUCGCACGAGACCGUUGGGCAGGUUUCUAUGCGUGACAAGGUCAAUGAUAUUCUCUUCCAGAUAGAGAUUCACAGCUUGCUCAAACGUUUGGAGGCGGCUAGCCCUGGAUCUGGCAAGGCGAUUGUUGAGGAGGCUCUCAGGAGCAAGAGAAUGAAGAGUGGCACCACAAGAAAGGCGUCCGCAGCUGCUUGA